GACGAACGCUGGCGGCGUGCUUAACACAUGCAAGUCGAACGGUAAGGCCCUUCGGGGUACACGAGUGGCGAACGGGUGAGUAACACGUGGGUGAUCUGCCCUGCACUUCGGGAUAAGCCUGGGAAACUGGGUCUAAUACCGGAUAGGACUCCGGACUGCAUGGUCUGGGGUGGAAAGCUUUUGCGGUGUGGGAUGGGCCCGCGGCCUAUCAGCUUGUUGGUGGGGUGAUGGCCUACCAAGGCGACGACGGGUAGCCGGCCUGAGAGGGUGACCGGCCACAUUGGGACUGAGAUACGGCCCAGACUCCUACGGGAGGCAGCAGUGGGAAUAUUGCACAAUGGGCGCAAGCCUGAUGCAGCGACGCCGCGUGAGGGAUGACGGCCUUCGGGUUGUAAACCUCUUUCAGCAUCGACGAAGCGAAAGUGACGGUAGGUGCAGAAGAAGGACCGGCCAACUACGUGCCAGCAGCCGCCGUAA
This 477-nucleotide ribosomal RNA is filed under the name uncultured bacterium. RNAcentral describes it as "partial 16S ribosomal RNA". It matches the Rfam family "Bacterial small subunit ribosomal RNA", at positions 28 to 523 of the family's 1533-position model. The record is from RNAcentral.